This 888-nucleotide ribosomal RNA is filed under the name Escherichia coli. Its description in RNAcentral is "bacterial SSU rRNA". The record is from RNAcentral. Lineage: Bacteria; Pseudomonadati; Pseudomonadota; Gammaproteobacteria; Enterobacterales; Enterobacteriaceae.
GUACGCGUGGCUGCCACUUUCUGUUGCGGAUCGCGCCCUUCCAUCACUAACGGUGCCCACUCUUUGAUCUGCGCGUGAUCUUCAGAGUAACGCAUACCGCGAAACAGCGAGCUUUGUUGCCCGCCACGUCUUCCAGUAACACGUCCCGGAUACCGCAGGCCAGAAGCCGGGGCGUGUCACCGUCAAACAAUCCCGGCCACCAGGGUUUCAGGGUAUUCACGGCCUCAUCCAGCGUGGGCAGGUUCAGAUAAAUGSCGCAAGGUUAAAACUCAAAUGAAUUGACGGGGGCCCGCACAAGCGGUGGAGCAUGUGGUUUAAUUCGAUGCAACGCGAAGAACCUUACCUGGUCUUGACAUCCACAGAACUUUCCAGAGAUGGAUUGGUGCCUUCGGGAACUGUGAGACAGGUGCUGCAUGGCUGUCGUCAGCUCGUGUUGUGAAAUGUUGGGUUAAGUCCCGCAACGAGCGCAACCCUUAUCCUUUGUUGCCAGCGGUCCGGCCGGGAACUCAAAGGAGACUGCCAGUGAUAAACUGGAGGAAGGUGGGGAUGACGUCAAGUCAUCAUGGCCCUUACGACCAGGGCUACACACGUGCUACAAUGGCGCAUACAAAGAGAAGCGACCUCGCGAGAGCAAGCGGACCUCAUAAAGUGCGUCGUAGUCCGGAUUGGAGUCUGCAACUCGACUCCAUGAAGUCGGAAUUGCUAGUAAUCGUGGAUCAGAAUGCCACGGUGAAUACGUUCCCGGGCCUUGUACACACCGCCCGUCACACCAUGGGAGUGGGUUGCAAAAGAAGUAGGUAGCUUAACCUUCGGGAGGGCGCUUACCACUUUGUGAUUCAUGACUGGGGUGAAGUCGUAACAAGGUAACCGUAGGGGAACCUGCGGUUG